This 253-nucleotide ribosomal RNA is filed under the name uncultured bacterium. RNAcentral describes it as "partial 16S ribosomal RNA". It matches the Rfam family "Bacterial small subunit ribosomal RNA", at positions 524 to 776 of the family's 1533-position model. The record is from RNAcentral.
UACGAAGGGGGCUAGCGUUGUUCGGAAUUACUGGGCGUAAAGCGCACGUAGGCGGAUGGUUAAGUCAGGGGUGAAAUCCCAGAGCUCAACUCUGGAACUGCCUUUGAUACUGGCCAUCUCGAGUCCGGAAGAGGUGAGUGGAACUCCUAGUGUAGAGGUGGAAUUCGUAGAUAUUAGGAAGAACACCGGUGGCGAAGGCGGCUCACUGGUCCGGUACUGACGCUGAGGUGCGAAAGCGUGGGGAGCAAACAGG